Molecule: long non-coding RNA, 289 nt
Filed under: Phaseolus vulgaris (common bean)
Lineage: Eukaryota; Viridiplantae; Streptophyta; Magnoliopsida; Fabales; Fabaceae
Description: long non-coding RNA (PVUL_LNC000563)
Source: RNAcentral
CAAGAACAACUGCUGAAGCAGCCACCAGAAGGGAAAUGCCACUGGAAACUCCAACUGCUCCACUGGGCUUUGCUGAUGGUGAGGUGGUGUUGGUGGAAGGGGUGGAAGGGGUGGAAGGGGUGGUGGAAGGGGUGGUGGAAGGGGUGGUUGGGGUGGUGGAGCUGGCAGCCUCCACAUUGAUCUGCAGCUUCAUGCCUCCAGCACAGUGCCCUGGCCUGGGGCACAGGAAGUACCUUUUCCCUGUUGUAGACAAUGCAAUUUUGCUGUUUCCAUCUUUGUAGUUCUUGAU